Long non-coding RNA from Brassica oleracea var. oleracea, 940 nucleotides. RefSeq lists it as uncharacterized. The record is from RefSeq and is a predicted model, not a curated record. The transcript has 2 exons. NCBI's taxonomy places the organism in Eukaryota, Viridiplantae, Streptophyta, Magnoliopsida, Brassicales, Brassicaceae.
UUAGCUCUUAACUUUUCAACACACUAUUCUCUUUCUCUAUCUCUUUCUUUAUAUUUUCUUCUCUUUUUGCCGAAAUUCAGUCCAUCGAUAAAAGACGACGGAGGAGAAGAAGUUGAGCGUUAGAUUCAUCAAUUGCGUUGACGGAGAGUAAAGGAUCUUGUUGAUGUAGAGGUGUUAUGUGACGGCGGCUCCGACAAUUUUGGCGGUUGCUCUGUGGCCGGAGAUGGUGAUAACGAUUAUUCCUCUAUAAACUUCUUCAGCCGUUCACAGGCCUUUAGAGCCUUUGUGUGUGGGUUUUUAGGCAUCAGAUCUUGUAUAAUUAGACAAAAAGACAUGUGCUUUCCAUCUAUGGUGUAUCCUCCACCGUUUUCCAUCGUCUCCACAACCAUUAUCCGCCGUCUCUGUCACCGCACCGUGUCUCCACCAACAUUCUCUAGCAUCUCUGCCACAAUUUUAACUUGGUCCAGAGUCGGAACUCAAAUCGUACCCGUCACAACGUAGAAAUGGUUAGAUUAUGAUAUUUACAAUUUUGGUCUAGAUAAAGAUAUUUAUUAUAAUUUCUUCUGCAAAACUCUCACUGGCCAUCCGAGGAAAGAUGUAGAGCUGAUGCACGAUAAUCUUUUCCUCAUCCUUUACAAGACCUAAAAUGAGAAUUUAUGCCUCUACGAAUUUCCAACUGAGACAUGUGAGGUUAAUCUUUUAUGUUGAAGUUCCUUUUGGCGAACAUAAAAGAUGUCCAAAGCUUCCGUUAUUCUGUGAGAGAGUAGUUAGUAGGGAGCGUGACUAUUGUUGCAGAGAGACAAGUGAGUAGUUAAUUUGGGCUAUUGUACAUCGUUUACAGUGUACAUGUGGACACUUACAUGCGGAUACCAACAAAAAAUUCAUGUACACUGAUGAACUUAUGGUCGUAUGUACAUAUCAAUAAUUUUUUGUUUGUAAA